RNAcentral lists this long non-coding RNA (679 nucleotides) under Sus scrofa (pig). RNAcentral describes it as "lncRNA (ENSSSCG00055017363.1)". The record is from RNAcentral. Lineage: Eukaryota; Metazoa; Chordata; Mammalia; Artiodactyla; Suidae.
AGAGCGUUUGCAUCCCAUAACAGAAAAUCAGUCUGCGAUUGACUGAAUUUAACUAAUUUCAAUUUGUAGGGUGGCUCCUGAUUUAAACACCAUUUCUCGCUCUCGCUCUUUUUUCCCUGUCACCCAGCUCCUUGCCAGCUGUACACCUACAGAAGGACGAUUAUUCUAAAUCUUCCAGCCGAGGCAGCUCUCAGGGUACCGUCCACCUUGAUGGAGCAAACAUGCAUCAAGAUCGAGUCUCCUCUGUUGGGGACGUUUGGGGCACAGCUAAAGGGGAUGGCGGCUCUCUCUCCAGGCUAACUGCACUCACUGACAGUAGUGGAGUCUUUCUAAGUUCCCAUGAUAUGGGCUCUGGGCGAGAUCCAUAGAGACAGGUAGAAAAUGCUACGGCAAUGCCCUACUCUGAAAAGUCAGCCUGGGGAGGAGGAAAGAGAGUGACUCAGAACACUCCCUGGUUCUUCCAUGGUGCCACGAGCUCAACAUUUUUAAAACCACUGAUCUUCCUGACCAGCUUACUUCUGUCCCAUCACCCUCUCCAGCAUCAUAACCGACACAGCCCUAAAUCUGGCCCAAUUUACCUUCUCAAUUGCCUCUUGCAAGCUCUCCAUCCUUGUGACCCAAGAUUGCACAAAAUGUAGCACAGCCGCACUGGAUGCAGUUCUCCUAGGACAGGUCUUGG